UCAGCCUUCCAAGCUGAGGGUCGCCGGUUCGAACCCGGUCUCUCGCUCCA
RNAcentral lists this transfer RNA (50 nucleotides) under Acidimicrobiaceae bacterium. RNAcentral describes it as "tRNA-Ser". It matches the Rfam family "tRNA", at positions 26 to 71 of the family's 71-position model. From Rfam's summary of the family: Transfer RNA (tRNA) molecules are approximately 80 nucleotides in length. Their secondary structure includes four short double-helical elements and three loops (D, anti-codon, and T loops). Lineage: Bacteria; Bacillati; Actinomycetota; Acidimicrobiia; Acidimicrobiales; Acidimicrobiaceae. The record is from RNAcentral.